Molecule: ribosomal RNA, 504 nt
Filed under: uncultured bacterium
Lineage: Bacteria
Description: partial 16S ribosomal RNA
Rfam family: Bacterial small subunit ribosomal RNA
Source: RNAcentral
AUUGAACGCUGGCGGCAGGCCUAACACAUGCAAGUCGAACGGUAGCACAGAGAGCUUGCUCUCGGGUGACGAGUGGCGGACGGGUGAGUAAUGUCUGGGAAACUGCCCGAUGGAGGGGGAUAACUACUGGAAACGGUAGCUAAUACCGCAUAACGUCGCAAGACCAAAGUGGGGGACCUUCGGGCCUCACACCAUCGGAUGUGCCCAGAUGGGAUUAGCUAGUAGGUGGGGUAAUGGCUCACCUAGGCGACGAUCCCUGGCUGGUCUGAGAGGAUGACCAGCCACACUGGAGCUGAGACACGGUCCAGACUCCUACGGGAGGCAGCAGUGGGGAAUAUUGCACAAUGGGCGCAAGCCUGAUGCAGCCAUGCCGCGUGUAUGAAGAAGGCCUUCGGGUUGUAAAGUACUUUCAGCGGGGAGGAAGGCGGUGAAGUUAAUAGCUUCACCGAUUGACGUUACCCGCAGAAGAAGCACCGGCUAACUCCGUGCCAGCCGCCGCCGUAA